AACGCUGGUCGCAGGCUUAAUACAUGCAAGUCGAGGGGCAGCAGGUCUGUAGCAAUACAGGCGCUGCCGACCGGCAAACGGGUGCGGAACACGUACACAACCUUCCUUUAAGCGGGGAAUAGCCCGGGGAAACCCGGAUUAAUACCUCAUAGUAUAAUGAAAGGGCAUCUUUUUAUUAUUAAAGAUUUAUCACUUGAAGAUGGGUGUGCGGCUGAUUAGGUAGUUGGCGGGGUAACGGCCCACCAAGCCUACGAUCAGUAACUGGUGUGAGAGCACGACCAGUCACACGGGCACUGAGACACGGGCCCGACUCCUACGGGAGGCAGCAGU
RNAcentral lists this ribosomal RNA (330 nucleotides) under uncultured Chitinophagaceae bacterium. RNAcentral describes it as "bacterial SSU rRNA". It matches the Rfam family "Bacterial small subunit ribosomal RNA", at positions 32 to 355 of the family's 1533-position model. Lineage: Bacteria; Pseudomonadati; Bacteroidota; Chitinophagia; Chitinophagales; Chitinophagaceae. The record is from RNAcentral.